GUCAUGCACUUUUCUUUGGACUGGU
RNAcentral lists this non-coding RNA (25 nucleotides) under Rattus norvegicus (Norway rat). The record is from RNAcentral. Lineage: Eukaryota; Metazoa; Chordata; Mammalia; Rodentia; Muridae.